ACCAAUUCGGGUUGAUGAUUUUUGUUCCUCACAAGGUAAUGGCUCGGACGCUAGAAUUGAUUCUGUGGUGAUAUCCUGAUUGGUGGCGUUCUUGGUGCCAGCUUAUCCUGGAAAAGCCACAUAUAUUC
Molecule: non-coding RNA, 128 nt
Organism: Triticum aestivum (bread wheat)
Lineage: Eukaryota; Viridiplantae; Streptophyta; Magnoliopsida; Poales; Poaceae
Source: Rfam